This is a long non-coding RNA of Cyanistes caeruleus (blue tit), 2194 nucleotides long. The record is from Ensembl. NCBI's taxonomy places the organism in Eukaryota, Metazoa, Chordata, Aves, Passeriformes, Paridae.
UUUUUUCAAAUAGUGAACCACAUCUGUAAAGUUCUGAAAUGAUAGCUGCUAUUAUGUGCUCAUCUGCUUGGCACAGUAAUUAAAGUAUACUUUAAUGCUCUGAGACAUGUGUUCAGAAGUAUGGAUUGAAAUAAUCACUCUGCCCCUAUAGAAUUUGCUUGCUGAGUCCAACAGCAUAUGUGUUGCUAUAGAAAGCUGUGAGUUUGUAUAUCGUAUGUGAAUACAGUUACAUAUGGUGUUUCGUAUGUUUUAUUAAAUCUAAAUACAAAAAUAAAUUUUGUUUUGCGGGGUUAUUUACAUAUUUAUCCAGUGUGGGACAAGCAUUUUUACAGGUAAAACUUGCACUGUAAUAACCACUAAAGGUGGAAUUGUCAAGCUGCUCAAAUACUGCUCAAGGAGUUUUUGAGGUGUCUGCAAGCAUUGUGUGAGCAGGGCAAGCGGAAUUCCUACCUCUGUGAGGUGUGGCUCACCCAGGGCCAGGCUGGCACACCCACAACAGGUCCCUCAUGGAGCACCAGGUGCAGGAUGGGUUUGUGUCCAGCUGAGCUGUGUGGAGGAGGCCUGUGGCUGCUGAGAGAUAAUUCUGCAGCCAUUGAUGAGUUUAUGUUAGAUUUAAGCUUGCAGUGUUGACUCCAUCUUCAGCUCCCUGGACAUAGGACACAGUUGUCCUGAGGAAGUCUCCAGUCGUAUCAGCCGGAUGUACUCACCUUGACAGGAGUGUAAAAUUUACAACAGAAAUUACUUUAAGACUGGAAAAGCUCUUACUUAACUGAACCAUCAUUCAAAAUGCAUUAUGAAAGUCACCAAGGAGAAGUUUUCCAUCUCACUGUCUGCAGGACUCCUGCAGGUCUUCUGAAGCUUAAGUUCAUGCAUAGGACAUGGCAGGCCUGGUCAUUUCACUUCUUGUAUGUUCUCAGUUGGAAGUCACUGAAAAUCAGAAGAAGCUCCCAGGCUGCCCCUUAAAAGAAAAAGCAGUAAUCUGGCAAAAUGAACUCAGAACACACAAAGAGGAGCCACUGGAGACUAAUCUGCAAGGUAUUCAGAUUCUGCUACCAAACUGCUUCUGGGACUUCAUGCAGUUUGCUUCAUCUGAGAGAACCUCAGCAGUGCGCAUGGAGUCAGAAUUCCCUCCAGGAAGGGCUGGAACAUCUGAGCAUAGCGGUGGGGCUCAUCCUGCAGCAGGAGGACUGUCCAGCUGCUCAGACUGGCACCUGUCCUCAGCCCAGUCCAAACCCAAAUGCCUAAGGAAGUGUGUAAGGACAAGGAAAUUGUAGAUCAUAUUUCAGCUAAGUGAUAUCUUGGUGCUCUCCCACCCCCAAGAAACAUGCAGCCAGGCAUAGUUUAUUUCUCAUUAGCAACUAAAGCGGAUUUCUGUUCUGUAAACUUGCCCGACCUCCUCUGAGCCUUACGGCCUCCCUCACAGGGAGUCCUACAGCAUGACACACCUGUUGUGAAGAGUCACUUUGUUUUUGUUUGUUUUGAAACUACCUCAUGCUAGUUGGAGAUGAAAGGAUGCCUUCUAGAAUCUGACAGUAAAACUAGAAAAGGUUUUUUAAGAUUGUAUUUUUGAAAUGUAAUUUGUGUUUAGGCGUUAGGUUAGUAUGGUGGAUAUAGCACAGUUAAGUAAUCCAGGACCGGGUUGCCUUGUGGGUAAAACAACUAAUCUAAAGGGUCUGUACUUCCAGGGAAGUCAAGUCUUAGCAGCCAUAUCAGUUUUAAGCAUGGGCAUAUUUGCUGGUAGCAGAAAAAUUCCUGAUUGGUUCCAGUUAAUGAAUCAUUUGAGCAUGCAUUUAACUCCUCUGUGCAUUUCAGACUGAGUUGUGCUGGGGUACUGAGUCUGGGUGUUACUCUGAAGGUACCUCUCUGUUUGUAACACGGUGGGAUUUUUUUUGUUUGCUGGAUAAAUACCAUAUGCUUUUGACUUUGCUAUCCUGUGUUGGAUAGUGUUGGUUUUGUGCAGAGACCUGAUUCUAACUGGGAGGUUAUUGAGAUCAAUGUGUUCUGGGAUGUUUCUGCUUCCCAAUGAUAAGAGGGAUGAAUGGUAGAGAGAAGUAAUGGGAAGAGAGAGGUAAAUGUGCAUGAAGAGCCCUGAAAUCUAAAGAAGAUAGGAAGAACAUGCAUCACCAAUCAGUCUGUUGCAUAUUGAGACACAAGAUCUCCUUGGGAUGGGGUAAUAAAUACUUUGGUAACUUCA